UGAGCAGAAUAAACAAGAAAAGCGGUGGAGUAAAUUGUGAUGGUGGGCAAUUCGUGUGUGUUUUAAUAGAAAAUAAUGACCUAUAGUUUACAAACACAGUGUAAGAAGACCAGCAAGUGAACGGGUGUAUACUAUAUCUAUAUAUAGAAAUUCGUGAAAAUUAUCGAACCUAUUUGUCAAAAGAGGAACGGAACACACACACACAGACUCACAUCAACAAAAGAGAGAUGAAAAGUUUUCGAGAACUCCAAAAAAAAAAAAUUAUUAUCUCAACGAAUAAAAUAUAAAAUAUUCAUAUAGAAUUGUGAAAAUCCUUCAACAACAAUGAAAAUGAAAUUAAUACGAAAAUCCUUCAAGAAGAAUUAUGAAUUUAGAAAAAAAUCUUUUUGGAAGAAUUCCAAAUUUGAUUUUCGAGUGUGGGAAAAUCAAGGGGAAUAAAUUUUGAAAAACCAAAUUCUAUAUAUUGAAAAUAGAAGGAAAAAGAAAAUAAAAAAAAAAAAAAACGAAAGAAGAGAAAAAUUAUGAAAAUUUAUAAUUAUAAAUUAUAAAAAAAAAAAAAUUCACAAUAAAAAUAGAAGAGAAAAAUUACAAAAAUUCAUAAUUGUAAAUUAUAAAAAAAAAUUCACAAUUAUAAAUUGUAAAUUAGAAAUAAAAAAAAAAAAAAAAAAUUGUGAUAGAAAAUUUAGAGAAGCAAUUGAAGAAAAGAAUUUUUGUGAUUUAGAAAUUUUUGAAAAAUUUUCAAAGAGAGAGAGAGAGUUAAAAAAAAGGAAGAGGGGUGAAAAAAAGAGAUGUAUGUUGAAAAUACGGUCCUGGUGGUCGGUGGCGGCGGCGGUGGUGGUCUCGUGUCCGCCGGGUCGGGGGCGGAUCGUCCUUUUCUCCACUCUGCCCCUUUGGAGCACAAGUGAUACUAUCGUCGUGGUGUGGUGGUAGCUUCAGGUUUUUUCGUUGUGAGGAGAAUUUGAGAGAGAAAAGAGCCAGAGAGGCGCGCGUUCUCCGACCCGGUGCAUCGUCCCGGUUUGAUCGUCGUUUCAGUAUCUCGUUGAGUCUUCGUAAAGUCAACAACGCAAACCCACCCUCGAGAGUGAUUUUUACAAUUUUUCAGCUGCAAAAUUAUUCUCGAGUCUUCUACAUUAUAAAUAAUAAACAACAAUAAAUGACAUUUCAUCCAACGCCCUAAAAAAAAAAUCUUUCACAAUUUCUAGAUUUCAUAAUUUUUUCUCCUUUUUUUUCCAAUGCAGUGCUGCUGGUGCUAAAAGUGUAAAAUUAUCAUUUCAAAAAUAAUAAUUGUUUUCGCAAUUUAUUCUUGAGAAGAAAAAAAAUAUAUCAUUUUCAAUUCAAUAUUAAUUCGAGAAGGAGGAAAAAUAAAAAUUGAAUUGAUAAUUUUGGAAAAAAAAAAUUCAAUUCGAAUAUAAAUUGAAUAAAAAUAUGAUUUUCAGUCGAAAAUUAGAAACAAAAUCGAGAAUUAAAGAAAACGAUUAUUAAAUUAAAAAAUUGAAAUCCUUAAGGAUAAAUUUCAAGUGGAAAAUGAAUAAAAAUAAUAAUUAUUAUCGAACUGUGAGAAAUUUUGUGACAAUGUUUUGUGAGAAUGAGAAGAAUUUAUUAAUGAAUAUAUAAUUAAAAAAUCAAGGAUGUGACAAUAUUAUUGAGAUGCAAUGAUUUUCAAUGUUCUAAUAAUGGACUUUCAACUUGUACCGGUUUGAUAUUUCUUUAUUGUCUUGAUACUCGAGACACGUAACGAGGAAGGGGAAAAAAACCUCAAAAAAAAAAUAAAUAAAAAAAAAUAAAUGUGUAGAUAGCAAUCGAGGGAUUCCAUCAAGAUGUUGAUAAAAGAAUAUCGAAUACCUCUACCCUUGACGGUGGAGGAAUAUCGGAUUGCUCAGCUGUACAUGAUAGCGAAAAAGUCGAGGGAGGAGAGCAAAGGUGCCGGAAGUGGUGUCGAGAUAAUUGUAAAUGAACCGUACACAAAUGGUCCAGGAGGAAAUGGUCAAUAUACACAUAAAAUUUAUCAUGUUGGAAGUCAUUUGCCCGGUUGGUUCAAAAGUUUAUUACCAAAAUCGGCAUUGACAGUCAAGGAGGAGGCAUGGAAUGCUUAUCCAUACACAAAGACACGAUACACUUGUCCUUUUGUUGAGAAAUUCUCUUUAGAAAUUGAAACUUAUUAUUAUCCUGAUAAUGGACAUCAGGAAAAUGUUUUCAAACUUAGCGGGAGUGAUCUCAGAAAUAGAAUUGUUGAUCUUAUUGACGUCGUGAAAGAUCCGCUCUAUGGAGCAGAUUACGUGAAAGAAGAGGAUCCAAAUUCGUACAUAUCGGAGAAGACUGCAAGAGGUCCUUUAACGGAAAAUUGGCUGGAUGAAUAUUGGAAUGAUGUUAAGGGAAAAUCACAACCAACGCCUGCGGGAAAAUCUCUGAUGUGCGCCUACAAAUUAUGUCGUGUGGAAUUUCGUUAUUGGGGAAUGCAAACGAAAUUGGAAAAAUUCAUUCACGAUGUGGCCCUGAGAAAGACAAUGUUGAGAGCACAUCGACAAGCGUGGGCUUGGCAGGACGAGUGGUUUGGUUUAACGAUGGAUGAUAUAAGGGAAAUAGAGCGACAAACGCAACUUGCUCUUCAGAAAAAAAUGGGCCUCGCUGAAUCGGGCGAGGACGAUGAAGACGAGGAGGAGACACUCGGUACUUCGAAUACAAUUUCGACACCUCAGGAUUCGAAUGUCGCUAAAACUCUUGCUGCCACUUUGGGAAGUAUUGAGAAAAAUGAAGAUCCCCAAAGUCCCCCGUCUCUUAGAAAACCGUCCGACAUUCCAAUAAUCAACACAGCCGUCAGUUCUGAGGGCGAAGCAUCACCCGAGGAUUCGCCCAUUGAAACAACAGCUCCUCGACCGACACAGAAAGUGGAACCAGAAAAAUCCUGGAAAAAAUCAACAGCAUCUCUGCCAUCUCCAAAUUCAUCGAAAAAUUUCGAUAUUCAAAUUGCAAACUGGCGAAUGGAAAGUAUUGUGAGAGAAUCGGAAUCGGGAAGUGAUGACGAAUUUUUUGAUUGCCAAGCAGCUGGGUUCAUUAUACCUACUAUUCGCAAAGAGGACUUGGGGGAUAACUCAUCAUUAUGUAAAUGGAGUUCUUUGGAUCUUCUAGCAGAAGUUGAAGAUUCUACGUCUCCGACAGCAGUGACUGCCUCAAAACAAGAAGAAGAUUCGAUAUUUUCCACAUCGUAUUUGCAACGAGUUGCGAGUGAACGAAGUAGUAAACGAUUACAAAUUAGAACGUCUACGAGUGUCGAUGUCUCUUGUAUUCCAUCACCACAACAAUCGCCCACACAUCAACCCUGCAGGACAACAGUUUUAUUACUCGUCAUGCAUGCCGGCAGUGUUCUCGAUGCCAAUGUUGAUUUGCCGGCGAAAAAAUCGGAUAUCACGACCUUCAGGGGAGCCUUUGAAUCGGUGAUGAGACAACAUUAUCCAAGUAUGGUUGGUCAUAUAGAUGUUAGAUUAGUUGCUUGUCCAUCAAUUUGCAGCGAGGGACUUGGUAUUCUCUCCAUUUUGAGUCCCUAUAGUUUCGAUGUGUCACCAUCAUGUAUGGAUACACCUCAAGUAACUCACGAUACAAUACCAAUUGGUGCAAUUCCACUAUUGGCAAGUUCAAGUUCCGAAUAUCAAGACUCCGUCUCGAAAGUGAUUAAUACAGCGAAUCAAGUUUAUCAAGAUUUCAUUAGAAGCGAAGAAGGCAAAGGUUUUAAUGGACAAGUUUGUUUUAUUGCUGAUUCAGUUGGAUCGAUAUUAGCCUAUGAUGCACUUUGUCGAACAUCACAAUAUCAUUCGAGAAAUGGAAGUGAAAAUAGCAUUUUAGAAAAUGACAAUCAAACGACAGAUAAUAAUGGUGGCGGUGGCGUUGAGGAUGGUAAACAUUUAUCAGCUCCAUCGCCAAGAAGAAGAUCAUCAUCAACAAGCGAUCAUUCUCAACAAUGUAAAUUAGAAUUUGAAGUAAGCGAAUUUUUCAUGUUUGGAAGUCCCUUGGGUUUGGUGUUGUCUUACAGGAAAAUCUCCUCGAACGAUGAUAAAAGCAGUAAUAUUCCAAGGCCGGCCGUUAAUCAAGUGUACAAUAUGUUCCAUCCCACUGAACCGGUAGCUGCUAGAUUAGAGCCUUUAAUUUCAGCGAGAUUCUCCCUUUUGCCACCAGUUAACGUUGCCCGAUAUCAAAAAUAUCCACUUGGGAACGGUCUACCUUGUCAUUUACUGGAUGCAAUUCAGUCUAAUCCACAUUUCUUCACCGAUGGUUUGAACGUUCCUAAUGCAACGUUUUCAACAAUGCGACGACUCUCGGAUAUUUCCAUUCAGAGUUCCAUGUCAGGAAUGAUUGACACUAUUCCAUUGCAAGCUGUUUCUGCCCUAAUGCAAAAAUGGUGGGGAACAAAAAGGAUAGAUUACGCAUUAUAUUGUCCUGAGGGUCUUGCCAAUUUUCCCGCGAAUGCAUUGCCUCAUCUAUUUCAUGCGAGUUAUUGGGAAUCGUCGGAUGUUAUUGCCUUUAUUUUACGACAAUUGAGCAGAUUUGAUUUGCCAUUACUUUCUAAUGAAGAGAAAGAGCUCACAUGCUUCCGUCCAGGUCAGCCGCGAGAGAAAUGGAAUAAAAAACGCACUUCCGUUAAAUUAAAGAGUGUGGCUGCGAAUCACAGAGCAAACGACGUGAUUGUAAGAGAGGGUGUGCCACAAAUUCUAGUCGCUAGAUUUAUGUAUAGUCCAAUAGAUGUGAUUGCGUUAACGGGUGAAAAAGUAGACAUUCAUAUCAUGAGAGAUGCACCGGCCGGCGAAUGGAGUUAUCUUUCUACCGAAGUCACGGAUAAAAAUGGAAGAAUUGUUUACCGGAUUCCCGAUGAAAAGGCUUUGGGUUAUGGUCUUCAUCCUAUUAAAAUGGUAGUCAGGGGCGACCACACGUCGGUAGAUUUUUUCAUGGCUGUGAUACCACCUAGAACAGAGUGUGUAGUUUUUAGUAUUGAUGGAAGUUUUACUGCUAGCGUUUCUGUAAGUGGAAAGGACCCUAAAGUGAGACCCGGAGCUGUCGAUGUUGUGAGACACUGGCAAGAAUUGGGAUACUUAAUAAUUUACAUAACAGCAAGACCGGAUAUGCAACAACAAAAAGUUGUGUCCUGGCUUUCGCAACACAAUUUUCCACAUGGACUUGUCUCCUUUGCGGAAGGUAUUAAUAAGGAUCCUCUACGUCCUAAGGCUGCGUACUUAAACAAUCUUGUCCAGGAACACGGAGUGAUUAUUCAUUACGCUUACGGUAGCAGUAAAGACAUAAAUGUCUAUACGUCGAUAAAUUUAAAACCAAAUCAAAUAUUUAUCGUUGGUAAAGUUCCAAAGAAACAACAAGCAUUAGCGACAGUUUUAUCGGAAGGUUACGCGGCUCAUUUGAGUACACUACAAGCUCAUGGUGGUUCGCGACCUGCUCAGGGAAAUGCCCGAAUGGUCAUUCCAAGGGGACAAUUUGGACUUCCUGGUCAAAACACAUCGUUGCGACGAAGAAGUAACGACACAGCAGUCAGCUCGCCAGCGCGUAGCAACGUGCACUUAAAGCGGAAAGUCUACCUUAGUCACAUCUAACACGCUCCUAAAAUCUGCGUACAAUUUACUAACUUACAUUGGUGCCUGCUAUGAGGAUUUAUCGCGUUGUGCAGCAUAGCUAAUAUUUCAUCCUACAAGCUGCCCAGCAUCCUAUGCUCAAAAUACAAAAAAUUUAUUCUUUAAAUGUCGACCGUUAAAUACACAAUAUGUCCAGGAUUUGUGGUUAAGCAGCUAUAAAUGACUCUCUCUCUCAAUCUCUCACAACAAAAAAAAAAUGAGAUUAAAUAUCAUUUUUCGUUUGAAUCCAAAAAAAAAAAAAAAAAAAAUAACAAAAUAAAAACGAAAUGGUCUCUCUCGCUUUUACAUUCAAAGUUCUUUUAGGACACCAAGACGCUCAGCUUUUGGUCGCAGAGUCUUAGAGCGAAGUACAAGCGUGGGACCCUCGACAUCAUCAUCUUCGUCAGCACCACCGACAAAGACACCAGCUCAAGAAAAACUCUGACGCUUUGCACGCUGCCGUUCAUUCUUCGAGUCUCGGCAGUAAAAAAAAAUAGACAAAACCAAAAAGUAAGGAAUCGACACUGAUACUAAAAUUAAAAAAAACUGUACUCUAAAUUCUAAAAAGAAAAAAAAAAUAUCCGAUUUUAUUCGCGCACUGAUCGAAGUUUAUUUUUUAUACGUAAAAAGAAAACGCUAAUACUCGUUCAAAAACUGAUACGAUUAUUAUUAAAGUUUCUAAACAAAAAAAAAAAAA
Leptopilina boulardi is the source of this 6303-nucleotide RNA transcript. It is a transcript of the gene named protein retinal degeneration B, with no coding region annotated. The transcript is spliced from 23 exons. The record is from RefSeq and is a predicted model, not a curated record. Lineage: Eukaryota; Metazoa; Arthropoda; Insecta; Hymenoptera; Figitidae.